RNAcentral lists this long non-coding RNA (210 nucleotides) under Prunus dulcis (almond). RNAcentral describes it as "sRNA ncRNA". Lineage: Eukaryota; Viridiplantae; Streptophyta; Magnoliopsida; Rosales; Rosaceae. The record is from RNAcentral.
AUGGCUGAAGCUUCAAGAGUUCUGCAAACCACUCUCAUUCCCAGUUUCCAUUCACAACACAAAGUCUCACAUUUCAAAAUUUCCGUAGAAACCCAAAUUCAGUGCUCAGUCUCCACAUGUGACAGCACCAGAAACAGAGUGACCCAGAAGAUCCAUGGGCCUGUGACAUUGAUUCCUUGUAAAACGCUUCUCCUUUGCAGAAAUGGCUGA